This is a long non-coding RNA of Penaeus chinensis, 859 nucleotides long. RefSeq lists it as uncharacterized. Lineage: Eukaryota; Metazoa; Arthropoda; Malacostraca; Decapoda; Penaeidae. The record is from RefSeq and is a predicted model, not a curated record. The transcript is spliced from 4 exons.
AGUGAGCGCUUUUCCGCUCGCGUCCUGGGCUUAGCGAGCGCAGGGAGCCCCUCGCCGCCAGCACGGAGUUAAGGCUGCGAAGAACGUCGGUGCUUGGUCGUGUUUCAGGAGUUCAGCGUGGAAUCUAUUCGAAAUGGCGGAUGCUGGCUUCUUUCGCGGUACAUCUGCAGAACAAGAUAACCGCUUUAGUAACAAAGACAAAAAGUUAAUGAAAGAGAUGAAGUUCUCUGAAAGUCUUACAAAAAAGGUUGAUAUGUUCUAAAAGUACGUUUAGAAGUCAUCAAGCCAUGGGUCACAGAGAAGAUCACAACUAUAUUAGGUAUUGAAGAUGAUGUCGUCAUUGAAUAUGUCUUCAAUCAGCUAGAAGCAGAAAAGCAAGUUAUGCCAAAGGGGGUCUUGGUCCCUGGUGAUGGAGGGCCCCGGCCAGCAACCUGCCCCAGGCUCCCUGUAGGGUAGGAGCCCGACUGCACCUGACUGGCCCAUCUUACAGGGCUGGCCAUCACUACAUGUCGGGUCUUCCCUCAGGGGCCUGAGGCUUAUUGGCCAAGGCACUUGGCGGGGAUGGAUGCCUCGCUACCCUAUGGAUAACACUCAGGCAUACUGCCUGGGGAACUCUGGGCACAGCCUGGAACCACGACGAGGGAUACGUGCCUGGAUGACCCUAGGUGUAAUGAGCCUGGGGUGUCUAGGCAUUUACACCACCUUCAUUCUUCAGCCACCUUAGCUGCCCUGGGCUAAAGAAAGCCUGGGGCAGUCUCGGGAUUUCCAUUGAAAACUAUUUCAAUGGCCUGGAUGGAUCUGGGCCUCUUCCGGGUUUUUCUCCCCGGGGUUCGCCAUGCUGGAGGGUUCCGAGGUCACC